This is a long non-coding RNA of Homo sapiens (human), 1913 nucleotides long. RefSeq annotates it as lncRNA radiation induced regulator of PLK1 and RAD51. The transcript is spliced from 4 exons. The record is from RefSeq and is a predicted model, not a curated record. Lineage: Eukaryota; Metazoa; Chordata; Mammalia; Primates; Hominidae.
CCUGGGUCUCGCAGCAAAGGUCUUUGAUAACCAGCAAAACGGCAAAGGGAGGCAGGAAAACCACCCGCAGGGAGGCCAGUGUGGGUUUAAGGAAGUGAGACCAGGACCACAGACUGGGCGCUCCCUGCUGAGUCUGUGGCCCUGAAGGCUGUUCAGCUCUAAGCGUCGGUGCACGGACAGGCCAGACAGGGCUGUAUUGCUCCAAUCGCCCUGCAAGAAUCACAGCCAGACGGGGGCUUCCCGAGUGCUGCCCACCUUGCCGGCACGCAGGAGGAGGUGGCAUGGACUGGGGAGGAGGAAGCACUCUCACUCCUGCUGGAGCCUCUGCCCAGGAACCCCGAUUGGCCCAGCCGUCCCUGGGGAGGCCCAUCCCACGUGUCCCGCACCCCGUGUCUGUCAGCACUGAUCAGGGUCUCCCAGACACCUGCUCUGGGGUUGCCAUGGGGACGAGCGGGAGGGUGAGUGUGGCGCACACAGCUGUCUGUAGACACACAGAGGGCAUGCACGCAUGUGUCUGUGCUCACCUGCAUGUGUUCACACGGACUGGGCACCGCCGGAGGUGUUCACACAGCGGUGUACACCGACCCCUCUGCAGAUGUGCACACACCCAGCAAGGCUACGUCCACAGGCGUGUAUGUGUUCUUGCACCAGGAAGUGGGUCACGCCCCACACCACACAUCGUAUACUCUGUCCCUGCGGCACGCACCUGUCUGGGUGCACCAGGCAGUCUAAGCCCAUGUCACCUAUGUGUACACAUAUGUGCACAUACCUACUCAGGCACACCAGUGUGUGUACACGGCUGUCCAGGCACACUGGGCAGUCCAAGCCCACGCCUGCCCAGACUCUUGGAAUCGGGCACUUUCUGAGGCUGCCCCGAUGGGCGUUCCUUUCCCCAGCCAGUACAUCCUCUCUUCCUAACCCCACGUCUGCUGGACUCUUAAGGUGUCCACGCGGCCAUGAACAUCUCCAGGGCCUGCACUGCCCACUACCAGGACCCCAGCGGAACCCAGCAUCUGGUCACUAGGGGUCUGCAUGGGCAGUCACUUCCUGGGGGCCUGCACCCCUUAAGGAGGGUGAAGGACGGGCCAGCCCAGCUGGGGCUGAAUCCUCACAGCCUUGUUCACAGGGAGAGGCUGACCUGCGCCCAUUUUACAGACAACAAAACUGAGGCUGAGAGAGUAACAGCCCGGCCAGCACAUGGCAGAGCGUGGCGCAGGCCCAGGCCUGCCUUGUGAGGUCCCUGCCGUUCCCUGCAGGGUACAUAGAGGCGGAAGCUGAUGUGGCCCCCACUGGGCGUUCUUUCACUUUCUCUCCUUUGAUUCCACAGUCCUCAGACCUAGGAAUUAAAGAAACGUCCGUAGUUUCCGAUGAAGGAAAUAUUAAUAGAAGCUCAGAGACGUAAGCUCCAUGCAGAUGCACCCCCAAUUCAAGAUCCCUAAGCUCCCAGCCCCACUCCUCUCUACUCUGCCUGUUGCAAGGCCCUCCCGGCCCAGGCUUGGGAGAGAGGUGUGCCCUACACUGCCGUGAGCCCUGAGUGGACCCAGACGGCCAGAGGGAGCAGCCCUCAGCCCAGACUCCACAGCGCAGCCCAGCCCGUCCCUGCAGCCACGAUCGGAGUGCUACUUGGCACACAGACCACAGUGAAAGUGGAGAAACUGAGGCCCAGCAGCAAAAAGUGUCUCGUCGAAGGUCACGAAGGCAGGAAAUAGCAGAUGCCAGGAGGGUCAUGGCACUCAGAGAUGAAAGGAGUCCCUCAUGCCCGGCACUCCCCCGCCCACCAGCCAUCGUGGCCAUCCUGGGCACGUGAGCACCACUGCGCCAGCCCAGCCUGGAGCCUGGUACUGCUGGCCUUGGCAGGCAGACAUUGCUGGUCAGGAAUGCAGAAUCGGCCUUUAAAUACCUCAGCAAUUUCA